This 122-nucleotide ribosomal RNA is filed under the name Bacteroides thetaiotaomicron. RNAcentral also lists the same sequence under 1 other name. The record is from RNAcentral. Lineage: Bacteria; Pseudomonadati; Bacteroidota; Bacteroidia; Bacteroidales; Bacteroidaceae.
GCCAGCGUCGAUGGCAUGUUGAAUACACCGGUUCCCUUCAGAACACCGAAGUUAAGCGACAUCCAGCGAGGUUAAGACUUGGAUGGGUGACCAUUCAAAUUCUAAUUCUCGUGACGCUGGCU